This 773-nucleotide ribosomal RNA is filed under the name uncultured Neocallimastigales. RNAcentral's name for it is "partial large subunit ribosomal RNA". It matches the Rfam family "Eukaryotic large subunit ribosomal RNA", at positions 22 to 646 of the family's 3401-position model. The record is from RNAcentral. Lineage: Eukaryota; Fungi; Neocallimastigomycota; Neocallimastigomycetes; Neocallimastigales.
GUACACGCUGUGACUAGCAUAUCAAUAAGCGGAGGAAAAGAAACUAACAAGGAUUCCCUCAGUAACGGCGAGUGAAGCGGGAAGAGCUCAAAUUUGAAAUCUUGAAAGGUCUACCUUGCACGAAUUGUAGUUUAAAGAAGUGUUUUCUGUGACGAUCUGGUAUAUAAGUUCUUUGGAAUAGGACAUCACAGAGGGUGAGAAUCCCGUAUUUGACCAUUAUUUUCAGCUUUGUGAUACACUUUCAAAGAGUCGGAUUGUUUGGGAAUGCAGUCCAAAAUGGGUGGUAAAUUUCAUCUAAAGCUAAAUAUUGGCGAGAGACCGAUAGCGAACAAGUACCGUGAGGGAAAGAUGAAAAGAACUUUGAAAAGAGAGUUAAAUAGUACGUGAAAUUGUCAAAAGGGAAGCGUUUAACACCAGUGUUGUUUUCUGAAAAUCAACCUCUGUUAGCUUUAUGCAUGUUUGUUUAGACCUAAUCAGCUAUCUUGCAUGUUCUAUUGUUUGCAGUGGUGCACUUUUCAGUUUACAGGUCAACAUCAGUUUUUUUUACCGUAAAAAAGUUAAAGAAAGGUAGCUCAUGGCUCCGGUCGUGAGUGUUAUAGUCUUUUUCCUAUGCGGUAGGAGAGACUGAGGUCUGCAGUGUAGGCUAUUUGGCUAGAUACUCAGGUGCUAUGUGAUACCAUUUCAUAAACAACUUGUUGAUUAUGUUUUGUCUAUUGCAUACUCGCUUGUACUAUCAUACCUACGCUUAGGAUGUUGAGUAGCGACAUACGCAC